CACACCCCAUCAAAAAAGAUCGGUGGCGACUCAUCUAUUCAUUUUCAUUUUCAAAAUCCAAGUGUCGAUCGUCGUUUUUCAAUUUCGACAUUCAACAAAAGGGUUUUCAUGAUAAAUGUGAAAUCUAAUACUCCAUUGACUAAAAGGGUACAUCCUAACACUCCUUUUGCCAUAUACAAUCCCUGCAUGUAAACUUCAAAUCCUUAUAUAUAAUCCGCUGCAUAAUAAAUUUAGAAGAGAAUGUUUACUUAAAAAUUUAUCGAAAACGAAUUAGAAUAAUAAAUUUUAAAUUUACUGAAUUUAAAAAACUAUAUAUUUAUAUAUAUAAAGCAGAGAGAAAACAUUAGUAUAAUCGAAAUAGUGUAUCACCCGGUAUAAUACAAAAAAGAAAAAGAAAGAAAGAAAGCGAGAGAAAUAACAGUAACGAUAUAUGAAGCAGCGUAGAACAUAUUAAAUUACAAAAAGAGAAGAUGAAAUUACCAGAGAGCGAAUGAAAAAGAGACGCAAAGAAUCGGAGAUAUUUGGAGACUGAUAGCAAGAAAAGAGGCGAAAGGAAUUUUUAAAGAGGCGAG
Molecule: long non-coding RNA, 572 nt
Filed under: Gossypium barbadense (sea-island cotton)
Lineage: Eukaryota; Viridiplantae; Streptophyta; Magnoliopsida; Malvales; Malvaceae
Description: long non-coding RNA (GBAR_LNC004792)
Source: RNAcentral